GACGAACGCUGGCGGCGUGCCUAAUACAUGCAAGUAGAACGCUGAAGGAGGAGCUUGCUCUUCUGGAUGAGUUGCGAACGGGUGAGUAACGCGUAGGUAACCUGCCUGGUAGCGGGGGAUAACUAUUGGAAACGAUAGCUAAUACCGCAUAAAAUUGAUUAUUGCAUGAUAGUCAAUUAAAAGGUGCAAUUGCAUCACUACCAGAUGGACCUGCGUUGUAUUAGCUAGUUGGUGAGGUAACGGCUCACCAAGGCAACGAUACAUAGCCGACCUGAGAGGGUGAUCGGCCACACUGGGACUGCGACACGGCCCAGACUCCUACGGGAGGCAGCAGUAGGGAAUCUUCGGCAAGGGACGGAAGUCUGACCGAGCAACGCCGCGUGAGUGAAGAAGGUUUUCGGAUCGUAAAGCUCUGUUGUAAGAGAAGAACGAGUGUGAGAGUGGAAAGUUCACACUGUGACGGUAUCUUACCAGAAAGGGACGGCUAACUACGUG
This 495-nucleotide ribosomal RNA is filed under the name uncultured bacterium. RNAcentral describes it as "partial 16S ribosomal RNA". It matches the Rfam family "Bacterial small subunit ribosomal RNA", at positions 28 to 507 of the family's 1533-position model. The record is from RNAcentral.